UCAAGUCCAAACAUGAACUUAUGAACUCUAGCUUCCUAUUUUUCCUUCGCGAUAGCAGUAGACGCAGCGCAUGUACAUGGCUGAGUAACCUGGAAGUUUUGUAACUCCUCCCAUAACUUAGAUAGACGACCAUAAUAUUGCAAGACUGUAUCCCCGUUUUGUUUGCAAUUUGUGAUAUCAUCUUGUAGAAGAUGCUUACGAACCCCGUUAGUAACAGAGAAACGUAGCUUAAGAGAUUCCUAAAGUAGAUAAGCAUCAGGUACAUGACUGACAGUAUAACGCACCGUAGGGUCGAUCAAAGUUCGUAUCCAACCAACGAUGAUAGAAUUAGCUGAAGUCCACUGAGCAAGAUUAGGAUUCGUCAAUGGUUUUGGGAUAGAACCAU
Molecule: long non-coding RNA, 385 nt
Filed under: Brassica napus (rape)
Lineage: Eukaryota; Viridiplantae; Streptophyta; Magnoliopsida; Brassicales; Brassicaceae
Description: long non-coding RNA (BNAP_LNC009995)
Source: RNAcentral